GGGGUUGUGGCUCAGAGGUAGAUCGCUCGCCUACCAUGAGUGAGGCCCUGGGUUCGAUCCUCAGCACCACA
This 71-nucleotide transfer RNA is filed under the name Marmota monax (woodchuck). RNAcentral describes it as "tRNA.Gly". The record is from RNAcentral. Lineage: Eukaryota; Metazoa; Chordata; Mammalia; Rodentia; Sciuridae.